This 497-nucleotide ribosomal RNA is filed under the name uncultured bacterium. RNAcentral describes it as "partial 16S ribosomal RNA". It matches the Rfam family "Bacterial small subunit ribosomal RNA", at positions 28 to 507 of the family's 1533-position model. The record is from RNAcentral.
GAUGAACGCUGGCGGCGUGCCUAAUACAUGCAAGUCGAGCGAACAGACGAGGAGCUUGCUCCUCUGACGUUAGCGGCGGACGGGUGAGUAACACGUGGAUAACCUACCUAUAAGACUGGGAUAACUUCGGGAAACCGGAGCUAAUACCGGAUAAUAUAUUGAACCGCAUGGUUCAAUAGUGAAAGACGGUUUUGCUGUCACUUAUAGAUGGAUCCGCGCCGCAUUAGCUAGUUGGUAAGGUAACGGCUUACCAAGGCAACGAUGCGUAGCCGACCUGAGAGGGUGAUCGGCCACACUGGAACGGAGACACGGUCCAGACUCCUACGGGAGGCAGCAGUAGGGAAUCUUCCGCAAUGGGCGAAAGCCUGACGGAGCAACGCCGCGUGAGUGAUGAAGGUCUUCGGAUCGUAAAACUCUGUUAUUAGGGAAGAACAAAUGUGUAAGUAACUAUGCACGUCUUGACGGCACCUAAUCAGAAAGCCACGGCUAACUACGUG